ACGGGAGGCAGCAGUGGGGGAUAUUGCACAAUGGGGGAAACCCUGAUGCAGCGACGCCGCGUGAGCGAAGAAGUAUUUCGGUAUGUAAAGCUCUAUCAGCAGGGAAGAAAAUGACGGUACCUGACUAAGAAGCUCCGGCUAAAUACGUGCCAGCAGCCGCGGUAAUACGUAUGGAGCAAGCGUUAUCCGGAUUUAUUGGGUUUAAAGGGUGCGCAGGCGGCCUGCUAAGUCUCCGGUGAAAUGUCAGGGCUCAACCUUGGCACUGCCGGAGAUACUGGCGGCCUUGAGAGUGGCGGAGGUAUCCGGAAUGUGUGGUGUAGCGGUGAAAUGCAUAGAUAUCACACAGAACACCGAUUGCGAAGGCAGGAUACCAUACCAUAUCUGACGCUCAGGCACGAAAGCGUGGGGAUCGAACAGGAUUAGAUACCCUGGUA
Molecule: ribosomal RNA, 434 nt
Filed under: uncultured Lachnospiraceae bacterium
Lineage: Bacteria; Bacillati; Bacillota; Clostridia; Lachnospirales; Lachnospiraceae
Description: partial 16S ribosomal RNA
Rfam family: Bacterial small subunit ribosomal RNA
Source: RNAcentral